AAUGAUUGGAUGAUGGGUAGCAAUUUUGAAACACCCUUCUAAAAGCAUCUAAACUUGGACAUGGUGGUUCAAUCGGGAAAUACAUUUUUCUCAAGUGGGAGAAGUCAGGCGUCGGAUACUGAUGAGUAAAGCCACAUUGAGCUGUCUGCUCUGUCCAUCAUGGAGAAUCGAACCUCGGAUUUUAACAUUUUAAGUCCGCAGACUUACUGGGGAACAUCAGUUGUUGCAAUUUUAAGGUUUCUUGUAAGUAAAAAUGCUCACAAUUCUGACAAAUAUAAAUACUUUAUGUGAGGAUACAAAAAAAAUGUAUUGUUUCAUGCAAAAAACAUACAAGGAAUGAGAUUUAGGUUUUGUACAAAACCAAAAUGAUUCCCUAAUAACAAUGAAAUUAAAAAAAGUGGGUUCAUUGGUUUUGACACUCUAUUGAUAUUGUAAAAAUCAAAAUUGAACAUAAAAAUGUGCUUAGAUCCUUA
Molecule: long non-coding RNA, 473 nt
Organism: Limulus polyphemus (Atlantic horseshoe crab)
Lineage: Eukaryota; Metazoa; Arthropoda; Merostomata; Xiphosura; Limulidae
Exons: 2
Source: RefSeq, a predicted model, not a curated record